RNAcentral lists this ribosomal RNA (320 nucleotides) under uncultured Prevotella sp. RNAcentral's name for it is "partial 16S ribosomal RNA". The record is from RNAcentral. Lineage: Bacteria; Pseudomonadati; Bacteroidota; Bacteroidia; Bacteroidales; Prevotellaceae.
GGAGUUUGGACCGUGUCUCAGUUCCAAUGUGGCUGGUCGUCCUCUCAGACCAGCUACUGAUCGUAGGCUUGGUGGGCCGUUACCCCGCCAACAACCUAAUCAGACGCAUCCCCAUCCUAUAGCGGUGAACCUUUGUUCCAACUUAGAUGUCUGCAUUGGAAAACAUAGAGUAUUAAUCCGACUUUCGCCGGGCUAUCCUCUACUAUAGGGAAGGUUGGAUACGCGUUACUCACCCGUGCGCCGGUCGCCAUCAAUCAAAGCAAGCUUCGAUCAUGCUGCCCCUCGACUUGCAUGUGUUAAGCCUGUAGCUAGCGUUCAUC